This is a long non-coding RNA of Nothoprocta perdicaria, 479 nucleotides long. RefSeq lists it as uncharacterized. The transcript is spliced from 2 exons. The record is from RefSeq and is a predicted model, not a curated record. Lineage: Eukaryota; Metazoa; Chordata; Aves; Tinamiformes; Tinamidae.
GAAGCCGAAGCGGAGCCGGGCGAGACGCGGACGGUCCCCCCCGAGCAGCAGCCAGAAUUAUUCCAAAGCUGAUUGGGAUUUUCUCAGCGUUCAGCACCGCGUGGUCGGCGUCCAGCUCGCACCGAAGGGUCCCCGCUUACAUGAGCCCUGCGAGGACGUGCGUGUGGGAAAGGAGGUGGGCAUGCCUGGCAUUAAAUUACAAUUAUGCAUGGGUGAAAGUCAAAAAAAAAAUGCAGUUAAUGACUGCAAAUCCUCCCCGCUCUUUACCUCUGCUUUUGGUUAAUUCAAGAGGUCCGCUCGUGUCCUUGAAAAUGAGAAGUUGCGUGUGCUCAGCGCCUCUUUUUUACCAGCGUUUUCCAGGGUUUCCAGCGUUUGGAAGGGGUUAGAGGGAAAAUUGGGCAAUCGGGGAGAAAUAGUCGCUGUAUUUGAGUCCCGUUUUGCCGUGAUUUUGCAGCGUUUUGCAGCUCGUUUGGAGUUGC